RNAcentral lists this small nuclear RNA (190 nucleotides) under Myotis brandtii (Brandt's bat). RNAcentral's name for it is "U2 spliceosomal RNA". It matches the Rfam family "U2 spliceosomal RNA". Rfam says of the family: U2 is a small nuclear RNA (snRNA) component of the spliceosome (involved in pre-mRNA splicing). Lineage: Eukaryota; Metazoa; Chordata; Mammalia; Chiroptera; Vespertilionidae. The record is from Rfam by way of RNAcentral.
AUUGCUGCUCAGCCUUUUGGCUAAGAUCAAGUGUAGUAUCUGUUCUUAUCAGCUUAAUAUGUGAUACAUCCUCUAUCCAAGGACAUUACAUUAAAUGUAUUUUUGGAGCAGAGAUAUGGAACAGGAGCUUGCUCUGUCCACUCCACUCAUUAAGGUGGUAUUGCAGUACCUCUGGAAUGAUGCAAAAAAG